CCCUGACAGUAGAGUUAGACCUACCAGAGAAAUCUUAGAGUUUCCCGCAAGGGAUGUUUAUGUUCCAAACACUACUUACAGCAACGAGGAACUGUUUUCU
Molecule: small RNA, 100 nt
Filed under: Pongo abelii (Sumatran orangutan)
Lineage: Eukaryota; Metazoa; Chordata; Mammalia; Primates; Hominidae
Description: processed transcript
Source: RNAcentral